RNAcentral lists this ribosomal RNA (773 nucleotides) under Citrobacter amalonaticus. RNAcentral's name for it is "bacterial SSU rRNA". It matches the Rfam family "Bacterial small subunit ribosomal RNA", at positions 20 to 783 of the family's 1533-position model. Lineage: Bacteria; Pseudomonadati; Pseudomonadota; Gammaproteobacteria; Enterobacterales; Enterobacteriaceae. The record is from RNAcentral.
AUGCUCAGAUUGAACGCUGGCGGCAGGCCUAACACAUGCAAGUCGAACGGUAACAGGAAGCAGCUUGCUGCUUUGCUGACGAGUGGCGGACGGGUGAGUAAUGUCUGGGAAACUGCCCGAUGGAGGGGGAUAACUACUGGAAACGGUAGCUAAUACCGCAUAAUGUCGCAAGACCAAAGAGGGGGACCUUCGGGCCUCUUGCCAUCGGAUGUGCCCAGAUGGGAUUAGCUUGUUGGUGAGGUAACGGCUCACCAAGGCGACGAUCCCUAGCUGGUCUGAGAGGAUGACCAGCCACACUGGAACUGAGACACGGUCCAGACUCCUACGGGAGGCAGCAGUGGGGAAUAUUGCACAAUGGGCGCAAGCCUGAUGCAGCCAUGCCGCGUGUAUGAAGAAGGCCUUCGGGUUGUAAAGUACUUUCAGCGGGGAGGAAGGGGUUAAGGUUAAUAACCUUAGCCAUUGACGUUACCCGCAGAAGAAGCACCGGCUAACUCCGUGCCAGCAGCCGCGGUAAUACGGAGGGUGCAAGCGUUAAUCGGAAUUACUGGGCGUAAAGCGCACGCAGGCGGUCUGUCAAGUCGGAUGUGAAAUCCCCGGGCUCAACCUGGGAACUGCAUUCGAAACUGGCAGGCUUGAGUCUCGUAGAGGGGGGUAGAAUUCCAGGUGUAGCGGUGAAAUGCGUAGAGAUCUGGAGGAAUACCGGUGGCGAAGGCGGCCCCCUGGACGAAGACUGACGCUCAGGUGCGAAAGCGUGGGGAGCAACAGGAUUAGAA